Molecule: non-coding RNA, 148 nt
Filed under: Homo sapiens (human)
Lineage: Eukaryota; Metazoa; Chordata; Mammalia; Primates; Hominidae
Source: Rfam by way of RNAcentral
GCUGGGUAUGGUGAUGCAUGCCUAUAGUCCUAGCUAUUUGGGAGGCUGAGGCAGGAGGAUGGCUUGAGCUCAGGAGUUCAAGGCUGCAGUGAGCCAUGAUCAUGCCACUGCACUCCAGCCUGGGUGAUAAAGCAAGACCCCGUCUCAG